GACGAACGCUGGCGGCGUGCUUAACACAUGCAAGUCGAACGGAAAGGCCCUGCUUUUGUGGGGUGCUCGAGUGGCGAACGGGUGAGUAGCACGUGAGUAACCUGCCCUUGACUUUGGGAUAACUUCAGGAAACUGGGGCUAAUACCGGAUAGGAGCUCCUGCUGCAUGGUGGGGGUUGGAAAGUUUCGGCGGUUGGGGAUGGACUCGCGGCUUAUCAGCUUGUUGGUGGGGUAGUGGCUUACCAAGGCUUUGACGGGUAGCCGGCCUGAGAGGGUGACCGGCCACAUUGGGACUGAGAGACGGCCCAGACUCCUACGGGAGGCAGCAGUGGGGAAUAUUGCACAAUGGGCGGAAGCCUGAUGCAGCAACGCCGCGUGCGGGAUGACGGCCUUCGGGUUGUAAACCGCUUUCGCCUGUGACGAAGCGUGAGUGACGGUAAUGGGUAAAGAAGCACCGGCUAACUACGU
RNAcentral lists this ribosomal RNA (467 nucleotides) under uncultured bacterium. RNAcentral's name for it is "partial 16S ribosomal RNA". It matches the Rfam family "Bacterial small subunit ribosomal RNA", at positions 28 to 506 of the family's 1533-position model. The record is from RNAcentral.